Molecule: long non-coding RNA, 294 nt
Filed under: Marmota monax (woodchuck)
Lineage: Eukaryota; Metazoa; Chordata; Mammalia; Rodentia; Sciuridae
Source: RNAcentral
UUUAUCUAGGGACUCCAGGCUUCCAUUCCGAAUGUGCCUGCUAGAAGGUUCACCCCACCCCAGCCCAGGACACAACCCCUAAGCAUGCUUGUUGCUGCUGUCCCAGGAAGGACAGCCUUGUCAGUUUGCUCCAUGCUACUGCCAACAAAUCUCUUGUGAGGGAUUCAGAACCCUCCUCAAACCCCAGACUUUGACCCCCUUGAUGGACCCCCUUCCCACCGUUCUCCACCUUCUGCUCUGACCCCUCUGGGACCUCCCUCACCUACUUUCUGUCCACCUGCUACUCCUUCUUGC